Molecule: ribosomal RNA, 122 nt
Filed under: Spodoptera frugiperda (fall armyworm)
Lineage: Eukaryota; Metazoa; Arthropoda; Insecta; Lepidoptera; Noctuidae
Source: RNAcentral
GUCAACGUCCAUACCAUGUUGAAAACACCGGUUCUCGUCCGAUCACCGAAGUUAAGCAACAUCGGGCGCGGUCAGUACUUGGAUGGGUGACCGCCUGGGAACACCGCGUGACGUUGACCUUU